Molecule: ribosomal RNA, 497 nt
Filed under: uncultured bacterium
Lineage: Bacteria
Description: partial 16S ribosomal RNA
Rfam family: Bacterial small subunit ribosomal RNA
Source: RNAcentral
GAUGAACGCUGGCGGCGUGCCUAAUACAUGCAAGUCGAGCGAACAGACGAGGAGCUUGCUCCUCUGACGUUAGCGGCGGACGGGUGAGUAACACGUGGAUAACCUACCUAUAAGACUGGGAUAACUUCGGGAAACCGGAGCUAAUACCGGAUAAUAUAUUGAACCGCAUGGUUCAAUAGUGAAAGACGGUUUUGCUGUCACUUAUAGAGGGAUCCGCGCCGCAUUAGCUAGUUGGUAAGGUAACGGCUUACCAAGGCAACGAUGCGUAGCCGACCUGAGGGGGUGAUCGGCCACACUGGAACUGAGACACGGUCCAGACUCCUACGGGAGGCAGCAGUAGGGAAUCUUCCGCAAUGGGCGAAAGCCUGACGGAGCAACGCCGCGUGAGUGAUGAAGGUCUUCGGAUCGUAAAACUCUGUUAUUAGGGAAGAACAAAUGUGUAAGUAACUAUGCACGUCUUGACGGUACCUAAUCAGAAAGCCACGGCUAACUACGUG